RNAcentral lists this ribosomal RNA (521 nucleotides) under uncultured bacterium. RNAcentral describes it as "bacterial SSU rRNA". It matches the Rfam family "Bacterial small subunit ribosomal RNA", at positions 8 to 518 of the family's 1533-position model. The record is from RNAcentral.
AGAGUUGAUCAUGGCUCAGGAUGAACGCUAGCUACAGGCUUAACACAUGCAAGUCGAGGGGCAUCAUGAUCUAAGCUUGCUUAGAUUGAUGGCGACCGGCGCACGGGUGAGUAACGCGUAUCCAACCUUCCCUAUAGUAGAGGAUAGCCCGGCGAAAGUCGGAUUAAUACUCUAUGUUUUCCAAUGCAGACAUCUAAGUUGGAACAAAGGUUUACCGCUAUAGGAUGGGGAUGCGUCUGAUUAGAUAGUAGGCGGGGUAACGGCCCACCUAGUCGACGAUCAGUAGGGGUUCUGAGAGGAAGGUCCCCCACAUUGGAACUGAGACACGGUCCAAACUCCUACGGGAGGCAGCAGUGAGGAAUAUUGGUCAAUGGGCGAGAGCCUGAACCAGCCAAAGUAGCGUGCAGGAUGACGGCCCUAUGGGUUGUAAACUGCUUUUAUCGGGGGAUAAAGUGAGGGACGUGUCCCUUAUUGUAGGUACCCGAUGAAUAAGGACCGGCUAAUUCCGUGCCAGCCGCCGC